This 361-nucleotide unclassified non-coding RNA is filed under the name Hevea brasiliensis (rubber tree). The record is from RNAcentral. Lineage: Eukaryota; Viridiplantae; Streptophyta; Magnoliopsida; Malpighiales; Euphorbiaceae.
GAGGCUUUUAAUAUGAACUAUUUGACCAACAAAUCGCCCAUGUUCAGAACGAAUCAAUCAAAACAGGUGAGUGGGAGCUCAUCUCCCUGUAAGUGAGAAUUUUUCUACCUUCUAAAGUUUUGUCCCAGAGUUACUGUGUUAAGGUCGUUCCCUGCCCUGUGGAUAGGGGAUGACUCCCCCCUCUUCCUUCAGCCAAAGCCGAAGGGUGGAUCUCCCUCUCCCCUUUUCAGUUGGUUUGUGCAUAGUUUUGAUGGGUCUUGUUCUCUUGUCGAUCUAUUGAAGAUGAGCUUCUUUGUGAAGGUUUAAGUACAAAUUGGUGAGAUGGUUCUGGUCAGGUCCCAGCCUGGUGGUGUACGCGAUG